UGAGGAAUAUUGGUCAAUGGGCGAGAGCCUGAACCAGCCAAGUCGCGUGAGGGAAGACGGUCCUAUGGAUUGUAAACCUCUUUUGUCCGGGGAGCAAAGAGCGGCACGUGUGCCGCGCCGAGAGUACCCGGAGAAAAAGCAUCGGCUAACUCCGUGCC
Molecule: ribosomal RNA, 158 nt
Filed under: uncultured bacterium
Lineage: Bacteria
Description: partial 16S ribosomal RNA
Rfam family: Bacterial small subunit ribosomal RNA
Source: RNAcentral